This 115-nucleotide ribosomal RNA is filed under the name Streptococcus infantarius. The record is from RNAcentral. Lineage: Bacteria; Bacillati; Bacillota; Bacilli; Lactobacillales; Streptococcaceae.
UUAAGUGACGAUAGCCUAGGAGAUACACCUGUUCCCAUGCCGAACACAGAAGUUAAGCCCUAGCACGCCUGAUGUAGUUGGGGGUUGCCCCUGUUAGAUACGGUAGUCGCUUAGC